RNAcentral lists this ribosomal RNA (618 nucleotides) under Ascochyta medicaginicola. RNAcentral's name for it is "eukaryotic LSU rRNA". It matches the Rfam family "Eukaryotic large subunit ribosomal RNA", at positions 37 to 669 of the family's 3401-position model. The record is from RNAcentral. Lineage: Eukaryota; Fungi; Ascomycota; Dothideomycetes; Pleosporales; Didymellaceae.
UGCAUAUCCAAAAAGCGGAGGAAAAGAAACCAACAGGGAUUGCCCUAGUAACGGCGAGUGAAGCGGCAACAGCUCAAAUUUGAAAUCUGGCGUCUUCGGCGUCCGAGUUGUAAUUUGCAGAGGGCGCUUUGGUAUUGGCAGCGGUCCAAGUUCCUUGGAACAGGACGUCACAGAGGGUGAGAAUCCCGUACGUGGUCGCUAGCCUUUACCGUGUAAAGCCCCUUCGACGAGUCGAGUUGUUUGGGAAUGCAGCUCUAAAUGGGAGGUAAAUUUCUUCUAAAGCUAAAUACUGGCCAGAGACCGAUAGCGCACAAGUAGAGUGAUCGAAAGAUGAAAAGCACUUUGGAAAGAGAGUUAAAAAGCACGUGAAAUUGUUGAAAGGGAAGCGCUUGCAGCCAGACUUGCCUGUAGUUGCUCAUCCGGGUUUCUACCCGGUGCACUCUUCUAUAGGCAGGCCAGCAUCAGUUUGGGCGGUUGGAUAAAGGUCUCUGUCAUGUACCUCCUUUCGGGGAGAACUUAUAGGGGAGACGACAUGCAACCAGCCUGGACUGAGGUCCGCGCAUCUGCUAGGAUGCUGGCGUAAUGGCUGUAAGCGGCCCGUCUUGAAACACGGACCCA